Molecule: long non-coding RNA, 1291 nt
Organism: Cervus elaphus (red deer)
Lineage: Eukaryota; Metazoa; Chordata; Mammalia; Artiodactyla; Cervidae
Exons: 3
Source: RefSeq, a predicted model, not a curated record
GAAAACUCAUCACUGAGUGGAGUUCAGUGGUCGCCGCCUCCUCGUGGCACCGCCCUAGAGCUAUCAGAAGGUUUCUGAGUUGACGGUUGCCCCCUCCCCCGGGCCUCCCACCCAGGUGUCUGUCAAGGUCGCUGUAAACCAAUCUCGUCCAUAUGGCUCUAGAAUAAAAAGAAACGCUGUUAUACAGAUUAUCUGCGAAGGGUGAAGACGGAGUGAAAAGCAACCAAGAGAGAAGAUGAAAAGAGACGUUUAGGGGUAGGGGGCUAAGAGUGUGAAACAAAAAGAUUUCUCGGCCUGUGGAGCCAGUGGACCAGGCACUGCGUUGACUGCCUAGCUUCAAAAUACCCUUGGAAGUAGUGGGCAAAGGCAAAGACAAGGUGAAAAAACACUGCAUCCCUUGGCAGUGGUCCAGCUCUGUGCCCCUCGAAUUUAUAAUCUGACCUUGUGUGGGGGUUGCUAUUGUUUCUUCAGAAAUGUACCCCAUCCCCCUUGGUAUGUACUCAAUGGACAUGAAACUGAGCAAAGUGAAGGACAAGGAAAUCUGCAUUCUAUGGGCUCGCAAAAAGUUGGACGUGCCUUAGCGAGUGAAUAAUAAUCCCCCUGGGGUUUGACUCCUAGUUCCUGAAGUCUCCCAGAUGCGUGGCAGUUAGAAUGUACAGUCACCACGUCUACGCGGUGAAAAAGCGGAGAGCAGAGAGGUCAUUGUCUACAAGACUUUAAAUUCUAAGAUAAAAAUGGUUGAAAAAUUUAGAAAAAAAUUCAAAGCAAAAAAAUCUUGAAGAGAAAAUCUCGAAGUCUGUUGACAGCUUAAUGAUUGACUGCAAAGAUUUGAGAUGAGUUUGUGUAGCUGCUCCAAUACUGUGACCUUGGGCAAGUACAUGAACCUACCCUCCCGUUUCUUCCUGUGAAGAAGAGUGCAAUUACUAAACUUCUUUUUAGUGGGGGAGACCAGUAAUGCUCGCUAGUGAAUUCUAAGCACUUAGCCAGAUGCGCAGGUAAUUGGGUUAAAUCAUCGCAACCAAGAAUAUCAUUCUAUCUUAAAACUUGUGAAGAGGAGACCACAGGCUAACUAAGGGCCUGGGAUAAAGAAGUUUCCCCAGGUUCACAGACUGAUCUGAGGAUUAAGUAAAAUAAUACAGAGAAGAUUUAGUAAGAUAAUGUAUGUGAAGCUUACAGUGGCCUAACUCACAGGAAGAGCCAAAGAGCCUCUUGAUGUGAAAAAGUUGGCUUAAAGCUCAACAUUCAGAAAAGUAAGAGCAUGGCAUCCAGUCCUACCACUUCAUGCCCAAUA